GGAGAGUACCGCUGAAUGGCUGGCAACUGGUCUUGAAAACCAGGGUAGGACAAUGUUCUAGGGGUUCGAUUCCUCUACUCUCCU
RNAcentral lists this transfer RNA (84 nucleotides) under Pseudanabaena sp. RU_4_16. Its description in RNAcentral is "tRNA-OTHER". It matches the Rfam family "tRNA". Rfam says of the family: Transfer RNA (tRNA) molecules are approximately 80 nucleotides in length. The record is from RNAcentral. Lineage: Bacteria; Bacillati; Cyanobacteriota; Cyanophyceae; Pseudanabaenales; Pseudanabaenaceae.